Molecule: long non-coding RNA, 277 nt
Filed under: Lathyrus oleraceus (garden pea)
Lineage: Eukaryota; Viridiplantae; Streptophyta; Magnoliopsida; Fabales; Fabaceae
Description: Pisum sativum (pea) long non-coding RNA (PSAT_LNC010373)
Source: RNAcentral
UACACAUUAAUUGUUUCUAUUAUCAACUAUGACUAAAAUUAUUUGUACAAUAAUUAAAAUGAAAAUUUAAAUACGGAUUUAUAAAUGUAGGAAGUGGCAUAUGUACAAUAAAAGUGUUAGUAUGUCUAUUUGAGUUUAGAUAAGCUCACCCUGAAAUCAAAGUUACAAUCAUAUAAAACACAUCACGACACACUCUAUAAUAUGUUAAAGAUGAUAAAAUGAGAUUAAAAAAUCAGAAAGGAUAUAAAAAAAACUGGAAAAAAUACAAAAAAUGAAA